This 324-nucleotide ribosomal RNA is filed under the name uncultured fungus. Its description in RNAcentral is "SSU rRNA". It matches the Rfam family "Eukaryotic small subunit ribosomal RNA", at positions 1377 to 1700 of the family's 1831-position model. Lineage: Eukaryota; Fungi. The record is from RNAcentral.
CCCAUUGAGAUGCGAACUGUGUUCGUAGCUCUUCUUAGAGGGACUGACUACGUUUAGUGGUCGGAAGUUUGAGGCAAUAACAGGUCUGUGAUGCCCUUAGAUGUUCUGGGCUGCACGCGCGCUACACUGACAGAGGCAGCGAGUAUACAACCUUGACCGGAAGGUCUGGGCAAUCUUUUUAAACUCUGUCGUGCUGGGGAUAGAGCAUUGCAAUUAUUGCUCUUCAACGAGGAAUUCCUAGUAAGCGCAUGUCAUCAGCAUGCGUUGAUUACGUCCCUGCCCUUUGUACACACCGCCCGUCGCUACUACCUAUGAAAUGGCAAA